RNAcentral lists this ribosomal RNA (598 nucleotides) under Lysinibacillus sphaericus. RNAcentral's name for it is "partial 16S ribosomal RNA". It matches the Rfam family "Bacterial small subunit ribosomal RNA", at positions 50 to 644 of the family's 1533-position model. The record is from RNAcentral. Lineage: Bacteria; Bacillati; Bacillota; Bacilli; Caryophanales; Bacillaceae.
GAGGUGAAGUCGAGCGAACAGAAAGGAGCUUGCUUCUUUGACGUUAGCGGCGGACGGUGAUGUACACGUGCGCAACGCUACCUUAUAAGUGCUGGAUAACUCCUUGAAACCCGGGGCUAUAUACCCGAAUAAUCUGUUUACCUCAGUGAAACACUGAAAGACCAGUCUACGCUGUCCGCUUGAGGAUGGGCCCUUGCGAUUAUCUACUCUCGGAAGGUAACCGGCUCACCAGAGCGACGAUUCGUAGCCCACCUGAGAGGUGAUCAUGACACACUUGGACUAUACACGGACCAGACUCCUACCUGGAGGCAGGAACGGAAUCUUCCCAAAUGGGCAAAGCCUGAUAUGGCAACUCGUAGAAGGAGGAAUGAUUCCGGCGUUAAACCUAUCUUGUUAAGGGAAGAACUGGCAAGACAUUUGCUUGUUGCUUUGACGGGCCCUUAUUUGGGAAGCCCUGUUUUUACGUGGCCAAAGGGCAUGGGAAAAACCUUGGGAGGGGAAUUUGGCCCGGAAUAUUUGGCCAAAAGGUUCCCCCCCGUGGGUUGUUUACCCCUUAAAUUAAUUCCCCUGGGAAUCCGGGACGGGUUUUCAAACCGGG